Molecule: non-coding RNA, 21 nt
Filed under: Caenorhabditis elegans
Lineage: Eukaryota; Metazoa; Nematoda; Chromadorea; Rhabditida; Rhabditidae
Source: RNAcentral
UAAACAAUUAAUGUAGGGCAA